RNAcentral lists this ribosomal RNA (497 nucleotides) under uncultured bacterium. RNAcentral's name for it is "partial 16S ribosomal RNA". It matches the Rfam family "Bacterial small subunit ribosomal RNA", at positions 28 to 507 of the family's 1533-position model. The record is from RNAcentral.
GACGAACGCUGGCGGCGUGCCUAAUACAUGCAAGUUGAGCGCUGAAGGUUGGUACUUGUACCAACUGGAUGAGCAGCGAACGGGUGAGUAACGCGUGGGGAAUCUGCCUUUGAGCGGGGGACAACAUUUGGAAACGAAUGCUAAUACCGCAUAAAAACUUUAAACACAAGUUUUAAGUUUGAAAGAUGCAAUUGCAUCACUCAAAGAUGAUCCCGCGUUGUAUUAGCUAGUUGGUGAGGUAAAGGCUCACCAAGGCGAUGAUACAUAGCCGACCUGAGAGGGUGAUCGGCCACAUCGGGACUGAGACACGGCCCAAACUCCUACGGGAGGCAGCAGUAGGGAAUCUUCGGCAAUGGACGAAAGUCUGACCGAGCAACGCCGCGUGAGUGAAGAAGGUUUUCGGAUCGUAAAACUCUGUUGGUAGAGAAGAACGUUGGUGAGAGUGGAAAGCUCAUCAAGUGACGGUAACUACCCAGAAAGGGACGGCUAACUACGUG